GUGUAUUAGCAAAAGCACAAACUGAGGUAAGAGAAGCAUUCAAAGGGAAAGAAACUUCCAAUGAAGAUGUUAUUGAGAGGUUGAAAUACCUAAAACAAGUUGUUAAAGAAACCUUCAGACUUCAUCCUCCGCUCCCUCUCUUAAUCCCUAGAGAAUGUAGAGAAGAAACAAACAUCAAUGGUUACACUAUCCCUUUAAAAACAAGAGUCGUUGUUAACGUUUAUUCGAUGGGGAGAGACCCAAAGUACUGGGAAGAUGCAGAAAGCUUUAUACCUGAGAGAUUUGAGGGGAGCUCAGUGGAUUUUAUGGGGAAUAACUUUGAGUAUCUUCCUUUUGGUGCCGGAAGAAGAAUAUGUCCUGGGAUUACAUUUGGUUUGAUCAACGUUUAUCUUCCACUAGCUAAUUUGUUGUAUCAUUUUGAUUGGAAAUUACCUCAUGGUGUGAAGCUUGAAGAUGUGGACAUGAAUGAGUUUUCUGGAAUAACUGCAGCAAGAAAGAGUGAACUUUACUUGAUUGCCACUCCUUAUUAUCCUUCUCAUGAAUGACAUUUGAGAGAAUGGUAAUUUAUGUAUUUUUGUG
RNAcentral lists this long non-coding RNA (579 nucleotides) under Solanum lycopersicum (tomato). RNAcentral describes it as "long non-coding RNA (SLYC_LNC000840)". The record is from RNAcentral. Lineage: Eukaryota; Viridiplantae; Streptophyta; Magnoliopsida; Solanales; Solanaceae.